Non-coding RNA from Anolis carolinensis (green anole), 120 nucleotides. NCBI's taxonomy places the organism in Eukaryota, Metazoa, Chordata, Lepidosauria, Squamata, Anolidae. The record is from Rfam.
UCUUAUCAGCUUAAAUACCCUGAAGGCACCAGAUCCCGUCUGAUCUUGGAAGCUAAUUGGGAUCAGGACUGCUUAUUAGCUAGAUGGGAAACCACCUGGGAACAUCAGGUACUGUAGGCU